Long non-coding RNA from Mytilus californianus (California mussel), 454 nucleotides. RefSeq lists it as uncharacterized. Lineage: Eukaryota; Metazoa; Mollusca; Bivalvia; Mytilida; Mytilidae. The record is from RefSeq and is a predicted model, not a curated record. The transcript is spliced from 2 exons.
CAAUUAGGUAUACAUGUGUAUUUAAAUAAUUAUAUCAAGCAUUUUUCAAUUCGUUAGGACUGUUGUUAUAAUGAGUGAGAAAUCAAUUAAACGGCAUGACAAAUCAUGUUAGAUUUGCCUGAGACUACUAUAACACAGAGAUUGGUCACUUCCCGUACUGACCAGUCAAAUAGUAAUUAAUUGUAAGUCUUCGAUCACGUGACUCGGCACGUGACCCGCAAUGAUUGACAAGAAGGAUUCGACCGCCAUUUUUGACAGCGAAAGAGAAAAUAAUAAUUAACAAAUGUGGAUUUAUAAAGAGUGUUAUGUUCCGGAAUACCCCCAGAAAGAAAUCACGCAUUAGAAGAAGGGAGAAGUACUACAGGAGAAAAUGACUUUUUUUAGUAUUUUUUUAAAUUUCAUUGAAUUUGUCAUGCUUGUCUUACAUGGAGAAAUAAAUAUUUAAGUCUUUGAA